This 62-nucleotide transfer RNA is filed under the name Parasacculina yatsui. Its description in RNAcentral is "tRNA-Val". Lineage: Eukaryota; Metazoa; Arthropoda; Thecostraca; Polyascidae. The record is from RNAcentral.
CAAAUAAUAGUAAAAAUAUUAUAUUUUAUUUACAAUAAAAAGUUGCAUUAAUGAUUAUUUGA